UACGUAGGUGGCAAGCGUUGUCCGGAAUUACUGGGUGUAAAGGGAGCGUAGGCGGGACGGUAAGUUGAAUGUGAAAUCUAUGGGCUCAACCCAUAAACUGCGUUCAAAACUACCGUUCUUGAGUGAAGUAGAGGCAGGCGGAAUUCCUAGUGUAGCGGUGAAAUGCGUAGAUAUUAGGAGGAACACCAGUGGCGAAGGCGGCCUGCUGGGCUUUAACUGACGCUGAGGCUCGAAAGCGUGGGGAGCAAACAGG
RNAcentral lists this ribosomal RNA (253 nucleotides) under uncultured bacterium. Its description in RNAcentral is "partial 16S ribosomal RNA". It matches the Rfam family "Bacterial small subunit ribosomal RNA", at positions 524 to 776 of the family's 1533-position model. The record is from RNAcentral.